Non-coding RNA from Balaenoptera musculus (blue whale), 84 nucleotides. The record is from the annotation of a RefSeq genome assembly. NCBI's taxonomy places the organism in Eukaryota, Metazoa, Chordata, Mammalia, Artiodactyla, Balaenopteridae.
GUCAGGAUGGCCGAGCGGUCUAAGGCGCUGCGUUCAGGUCGCAGUCUCCCCCUGGAGGCGUGGGUUCGAAUCCUAUUCUUAACA